Setaria italica (foxtail millet) is the source of this 1240-nucleotide RNA transcript. It is a transcript of the gene named G patch domain-containing protein 11, with no coding region annotated. Lineage: Eukaryota; Viridiplantae; Streptophyta; Magnoliopsida; Poales; Poaceae. The record is from RefSeq and is a predicted model, not a curated record. The transcript has 5 exons.
GUCUGGCCGUCUCCCUCCGCUCCGAACUCCACCACUGCCGCGGCGCGCGCGAUGGAGCCAGACGCCGACGAGGACUACAUGGGCGACCUCUCCCACUUCCUCCAGCCGAGUCCGUCCUCCUCCGCAUCGAGGAACCUCGGGCGCCGGAAGCAGCCACCCGCGCCGGCGCAGGCGCAGACGCGAGCGAAGCGCGGGAAGGGGGUGCCGUGGCGGGAGCGGCGGCGGCAGGAGCGCGAGAGGAAGCAGCGGGAGGAGGACGCCCGCACGAUGGCCGGGAUCGCGGAGGCCAUCCCGGAGAGCAACGUGGGGUUCAGGAUGCUGAAGCAGAUGGGGUACGACCCGGGGUCGCGCGGCGCCGCCGAGCCGGUCGGCAUCGAGAUCCGCCGCUCGAGAGCCGGCCUAGGGGCGGAGCCUGCGGUGGCACCGGCGCCGGCCCCGGCCCCGGUGGAGAAGACGCGGGCGGCGGUGGAGACGGAGCGGAGGCGGCAGGAGGAGAUGAUGGGGGAGCUGAGGGCGAGGAAGAGCACGCAAUGGAGGGGGCGGAGGUUGGUGUGGGACUUCCGCAAGGCCGAGGCGGCGCUCGCGCAGCUGGAGAACCGGGAGGUGGAGCCGCCGGCGCCAGAGGGGGAGGAGAAGGAUAAAGAGGCAGAGGAGGAAGAGGAGGUGAUCACAGAAGAGGAUUUGCAAAACAUAUUGUCUAAGUUGCGCGAUCAAUACCAGUAUUGCCUAUAUUGUGGGUGCAAGUAUGAAUCAGCAGAAGCACUGGCAAAGGAAUGCCCCGGCCCAAAUGAGGAAGACCAUUGAUUUGUUGUGUGAAGGGUGCCAUAGAAUUGUCCUUGAUACAACAGUUUGCUGCUAGAAUGGAAUCUCGGUGCAGUGCAAUAGCAAUUUUGCUGCGAGUCUUGUGUCGUCUAAGGAUCCAUGAUUGCUGAUGAUAUGCCUGGAAAGGGACGUGAUCACAGAAGGCUGUAAAGAAGUAUAAGCUUUCCAACUGAUGGAGUGAGGGAGCUAUAUUUUUGGACAUCUGCUCGAGUUUGUAGUUGAGGCUCGUGAAUGCCCAAUCCUACUUUCUCCAACUUCUACAGUAGCAUGAUGGAAUCUCUGUACUGUGUGUCGUCUAUGGAUCCAUGAUCAUGGGCGAUAUGCCUGGAAUAAUAACUGCUUACUGUCCCAGGAGCUACCAUAAUCCCAUAUGGCUACAGCAUUUGAGGUUAACACAAUUUCAUUGGUCUUCUUUCUA